UCCUACGGGAGGCAGCAGUGGGGAAUAUUGCACAAUGGGGGGAACCCUGAUGCAGCAACGCCGCGUGGAGGAAGGUACAGAGUAUCGUAAACCUCUUUUGUCAGGGGACAAAGACUGGGACGCGUCCCCGGAUGAGUGUACCUGAAGAAAAAGCAUCGGCUAACUCCGUGCCAGCAGCCGCGGUAAUACGGAGGAUGCGAGCGUUAUCCGGAUUUAUUGGGUUUAAAGGGUGCGCAGGCGGUCUGUUAAGUCAGCGGUCAAAGCCCGGGGCUCAACCCCGGCCCGCCGUUGAAACUGGCAGUCUC
RNAcentral lists this ribosomal RNA (305 nucleotides) under uncultured bacterium. RNAcentral's name for it is "bacterial SSU rRNA". It matches the Rfam family "Bacterial small subunit ribosomal RNA", at positions 337 to 643 of the family's 1533-position model. The record is from RNAcentral.